GACGAACGCUGGCGGCGUGCCUAAUACAUGCAAGUUGAGCGCUGAAGGUUGGUACUUGUACCAACUGGAUGAGCAGCGAACGGGUGAGUAACGCGUGGGGAAUCUGCCUUUGAGCGGGGGACAACAUUUGGAAACGAAUGCUAAUACCGCAUAAAAACUUUAAACACAAGUUUUAAGUUUGAAAGAUGCAAUUGCAUCACUCAAAGAUGAUCCCGCGUUGUAUUAGCUAGUUGGUGAGGUAAAGGCUCACCAAGGCGAUGAUACAUAGCCGACCUGAGAGGGUGAUCGGCCACAUUGGGACUGAGACACGGCCCAAACUCCUACGGGAGGCAGCAGUAGGGAAUCUUCGGCAAUGGACGAAAGUCUGACCGAGCAACGCCGCGGGAGUGAAGAAGGUUGUCGGAUCGUAAAACUCUGUUGGUAGAGAAGAACGUUGGUGAGAGUGGAAAGCUCAUCAAGUGACGGUAACUACCCAGAAAGGGGCGGCUAACUACGUG
Molecule: ribosomal RNA, 497 nt
Filed under: uncultured bacterium
Lineage: Bacteria
Description: partial 16S ribosomal RNA
Rfam family: Bacterial small subunit ribosomal RNA
Source: RNAcentral